GAUGUUUUUUAUUAAAAAGAAAUUAAAUUACAUAAUCGUUAAACAUUCGAAGUUUUAAUAAGAAAAAAAAAUAGUUUAAUCAACACUCGUCUGAAAGCGAGUCUUCUGAAUCAGAAUCAGAAAUAUCUGAUCCGAAUGCAGACGGUAUUGUGGACUUUGAAGUAGAAGCCAUCUGCGUCAUGUCGAGUCCAGAAGUUUUCAAAGUCUUAUUCAGUUUCUUCAUAUAUGAUUUCAUAGCAUUGAACUUCUUCUUGUAUUUGGAGACGUCUUUUUGACUCUCGUUACAUUUGUUCUGAAAAUGAAAACAAAAAUGAGUUCGGUAAUCAACAAAAUUAUUGAAAUAUAUUGUAAAUACCUUCAAUGCUUUGAAUUUUUCCGACCAAACUGCAUCUGGUGUUGAAUCAAUAGUCGUGUUAAAUUAAACUAAAUUAAUAAUUAUUUAACUAAAUUAAAAAGAUUUUUCAAAUCUCACCAAAACGGACAAUCGAGGCGACAUAAUCAAGGCAGGACGGAGGCGGUGGCUACUGGAGGCGACCUCGGAACCGGCGUCGGCGAAGAAACAACGAGAGGCAGUCGGCGGAAACGGCUAUUAUUGAAAUUAAAUCAUUGAAAUUAAAACAAAAUGAAAUUCUUAACAUAUCAUUGAAAUUCUUAUGAAAUCAUUGAAAUUCUUAACAUAUCAAAAAAAAUCCAUGUUUGUAAUAGAAGAUCGAAGAUUCGGAAGAAUCAAAGCAUAUUUCAAAUCAAAUCCCAAUGAAGUUAACUUGAAGUGGUAUUUAAGCAAUGAAGGUCAUCGGGGAAUAGAGAGGAACAAUUGGAAUACGACGAGUGUGUAGGAGUAUAAGGGUUCAAUUACACUCAAAAUUCUAUUACAAACAUGGAUUCUUAAUUAACAUAUCAUCAUUCACAGUAACAUAUAUAGAAACACAAACCAUAAACGCAUAUAGACUAAGAGAUCAUUCACAGUAAUAUAGUAUUUUCUAAUUAGAUUAAGAGAUUAAGAGAUUAUCAUUUACAUAGAUUAAGAGAUCAUCAUUCAAUACACAAAACACAAAAAAUAGACAAAACACAAAUCAAAUCAAAACCCAAAUCAAAACAAUAAACAAUCACAAAAUAAAAAAAUUAACAAAACCCAAAUAUAAAAACCCAUUUACAACCAUUAUCAAAAUGAUACCUUCAAAGAUAAACGGCGAGGAUGCGGCGGGAUGCGGCGACGGCGAGGAACGACGGCGAGGAACAACCGACGGCGAGGAACGACGACGACGGGGGCAGCAGGGAGGCAGCGGCGGCGAUUUCUUCAAUUUCAGACAGAACAGCCGCGUUC
This 1324-nucleotide long non-coding RNA is filed under the name Zostera marina. Its description in RNAcentral is "long non-coding RNA (ZMAR_LNC002959)". The record is from RNAcentral. Lineage: Eukaryota; Viridiplantae; Streptophyta; Magnoliopsida; Alismatales; Zosteraceae.